UAGGGAAUCUUCCGCAAUGGACGCAAGUCUGACGGAGCAACGCCGCGUGAGUGAAGAAGGAUUUCGGUUCGUAAAACUCUGUUGUUAGAGAAGAACAGCGCAUAGAGUAACUGUUAUGCGUGUGACGGUAUCUAACCAGAAAGCUACGGCUAACCACGUGCCAGCAGCCGCGGUAAUACGUAGGUGGCAAGCGUUGUCCGGAUUUAUUGGGCGUAAAGCGAGCGCAGGCGGUCAAUUAAGUCUGAUGUGAAAGCCCCCGGAUCAACCGGGGAGGGUCAUUGGAAACUGGUUGACUUGCGUGCAGAAGAGGAGCGUGGAAUUCCAUGUGUAGCGGUGAAAUGCGUAGCUACAUGGAGGAACACCAGUGGCGAAGGCGACUCUAUGGUCUGUAACUGACGCUGAGGCUCGAAAGCGUGGGUAGCAAACAGG
This 429-nucleotide ribosomal RNA is filed under the name Bacteroidota bacterium. Its description in RNAcentral is "Bacteroidetes bacterium partial 16S ribosomal RNA". It matches the Rfam family "Bacterial small subunit ribosomal RNA", at positions 355 to 776 of the family's 1533-position model. The record is from RNAcentral. Lineage: Bacteria; Pseudomonadati; Bacteroidota.